GGACUCGAUUCACUCUUAUCAGUUGUUCAGUUGCAACACUCGCAAUAGAUAAUGCAAGAAGUGCAGGCUUAUUGGCAGCAGAAAUGUUGGGAGUAAAUGGCAAUGUUGAUCUACUUGCAAGAGUGAGCCAAUAUCAGGAAGAUGCAGGGGAUGAUGUCUUGAAAAAAGCAGAGAAGUUACAGGAAGAUGUUACCCCACAUGUUGAGAUAAUUAUGGGCUCUGAUUCAGAUCUUCCUGUUAUGAAGGAUGCUGCUAAGAUCCUUAGCUUAUUUGAUGUACCUCAUAA
Molecule: long non-coding RNA, 286 nt
Organism: Pistacia vera
Lineage: Eukaryota; Viridiplantae; Streptophyta; Magnoliopsida; Sapindales; Anacardiaceae
Exons: 4
Source: RefSeq, a predicted model, not a curated record